This 168-nucleotide ribosomal RNA is filed under the name uncultured bacterium. RNAcentral describes it as "partial 16S ribosomal RNA". It matches the Rfam family "Bacterial small subunit ribosomal RNA", at positions 1335 to 1500 of the family's 1533-position model. The record is from RNAcentral.
CUAGUAAUCGCAGAUCAGCAUGCUGCGGUGAAUACGUUCCCGGGUCUUGUACACACCGCCCGUCACACCAUGGGAGUCAGUAACGCCCGAAGUCAGUGACCCAACCUUUAGAGGAGGGAGCUGCCGAAGGCGGGACGGAUGACUGGGGUGAAGUCGUAACAAGGUAAC